This 29-nucleotide non-coding RNA is filed under the name Mus musculus (house mouse). The record is from RNAcentral. Lineage: Eukaryota; Metazoa; Chordata; Mammalia; Rodentia; Muridae.
UGCCCAACGAAAUGGAAAACAAGAGUGAA